Molecule: microRNA, 20 nt
Filed under: Macrophomina phaseolina MS6
Lineage: Eukaryota; Fungi; Ascomycota; Dothideomycetes; Botryosphaeriales; Botryosphaeriaceae
Description: miR-466i-5p
Source: RNAcentral
AGAGUGUGUGUGUGUGUGUG